This 899-nucleotide ribosomal RNA is filed under the name uncultured bacterium. RNAcentral describes it as "bacterial SSU rRNA". It matches the Rfam family "Bacterial small subunit ribosomal RNA", at positions 8 to 904 of the family's 1533-position model. The record is from RNAcentral.
AGAGUUUGAUCAUGGCUCAGGACGAACGCUGGCGGCGUGCCUAACACAUGCAAGUCGAGCGGAGGUAUAUACGAAGAAGUUUUCGGACGGAAUUGUAUAUACUUUAGCGGCGGACGGGUGAGUAACGCGUGAGCAACCUGCCUUUCACAGGGGGAUAAGGCGGCGAAAGCCGCUCUAAUACCGCAUGAGACCACAGUGGUGAUGCUACAGGGGUCAAAGGAGCAAUCCGGUGAAAGAUGGGCUCGCGUCCGAUUAGGUAGUUGGUGGGGUAAUGGCCCACCAAGCCCGUGAUCGGUAGCCGGCCUGAGAGGGUGAACGGCCACAUUGGAACUGAGACACGGUCCAAACUCCUACGGGAGGCAGCAGUGGGGAAUAUUGGGCAAUGGGGGGAACCCUGACCCAGCAACGCCGCGUGAGGGAAGAAGGUUUUCGGAUUGUAAACCUCUGUUCUUGGGGAAGAGUGAAAGACGGUACCCAAGGAGGAAGCCCCGGCUAACUACGUGCCAGCAGCCGCGGAAAUACGUAGGGGGCGAGCGUUAUCCGGAAUUAUUGGGCGUAAAGAGUACGUAGGUGGUUUGGAAAGCGUGUGGUGAAAUUGCGGGGCUUAACCCCGUCCAGCCAUGCGAACUUUCAGACUUGAGUGCAGGAGAGGGAAGUGGAAUUCCUAGUGUAGCGGUGAAAUGCGUAGAUAUUAGGAGGAACAUCAGUGGCGAAGGCGACUUCCUGGACUGUAACUGACACUGAGGUACGAAAGCGUGGGUAGCAAACAGGAUUAGAUACCCUGGUAGUCCACGCCGUAAACGAUGAGCACUAGGUGUCGGGGUCGCAAGACUUCGGUGCCGCAGUUAACGCAUUAAGUGCUCCGCCUGGGGAAGUACGUGCGCAAGCAUGAAACUCAA